Molecule: ribosomal RNA, 184 nt
Filed under: Sulfitobacter sp.
Lineage: Bacteria; Pseudomonadati; Pseudomonadota; Alphaproteobacteria; Rhodobacterales; Roseobacteraceae
Description: partial 16S ribosomal RNA
Rfam family: Bacterial small subunit ribosomal RNA
Source: RNAcentral
UGGGAACGUGCCCUUCUCUGCGGAAUAGCCACUGGAAACGGUGAGUAAUACCGCAUACGCCCUUCGGGGGAAAGAUUUAUCGGAGAAGGAUCGGCCCGCGUUAGAUUAGAUAGUUGGUGGGGUAACGGCCUACCAAGUCUACGAUCUAUAGCUGGUUUUAGAGGAUGAUCAGCAACACUGGGAC